GCCUACGGGGCGCAGCAGUGGGGAAUAUUGCGCAAUGGGCGAAAGCCUGACGCAGCGACGCCGCGUGAGGGAUGAAGGUCUUCGGAUCGUAAACCUCUGUCAGCAGGGAAGAACGGUCACUGUGCUAAUCAGCAGUGAAUUGACGGUACCUGCAAAGGAAGCACCGGCUAACUCCGUGCCAGCAGCCGCGGUAAUACGGAGGGUGCGAGCGUUAAUCGGAAUUACUGGGCGUAAAGAGCUCGUAGGCGGUAUGUCAAGUCAAGGGUGAAAUCCCCGCGCUCAAAGUGGGAAAUGAGUUUGAAAAU
This 305-nucleotide ribosomal RNA is filed under the name uncultured bacterium. RNAcentral's name for it is "bacterial SSU rRNA". It matches the Rfam family "Bacterial small subunit ribosomal RNA", at positions 337 to 634 of the family's 1533-position model. The record is from RNAcentral.